Molecule: long non-coding RNA, 1166 nt
Organism: Callorhinus ursinus (northern fur seal)
Lineage: Eukaryota; Metazoa; Chordata; Mammalia; Carnivora; Otariidae
Source: RefSeq, a predicted model, not a curated record
CUUAACCGACUGAGCCACCCAGGCGCCCCCAACUCAUGCUUUUUAAUUUCCACUUUUAUUUAUAAACUGUUCACCUCUGACUACUUGAGUCUAGGCCUUGCGUAGGACACUGGGGACAUGGAUGUACUAGGGAAAACCACAGUCUAGUCCACCAGAGUCUAGUAGAAGGAGACAGACAAGGAAGGAGGCAAGAGGCUAUAUUUAAGCACCCACAGGUAUCAUGGAAGCAAGGAGCUGGUGACAGUCAACUCUGCCACAGAGGAUGAUGGAGAGUUCCUCCAAGGUGGUUAGGCUUGGGAGGAUGACCUAGAUCUUUCCAGGUGAUGGAAUCAAGUGUCCUGUUAGAAGCAAUGUCAUGAACUAGCACCUGGAGGCAUUCAGCACAACAAUCAGGACAGGUGUUUCUGUCAUUGUGUGUUGUAAGAUCCUGAACCACAACUAAUAGGGCUAAUGAAAAAGCUAGGUUGAGAAAGACCCCUCAAAACCUGUGGGACUUUGUAACUGGAACACUAGCCCAAACCAUAAUGAUCCUGAUGAAAAUCCCUCCCCGGUUAAACCUCCACCAUCAUGGGUACCUGUCAUCACAGCCGGUCAAUGCUUGGCAGCCUCAAGGAAGUUUCUGAUCCUUCCUUCAAGAGGUGUACUGCUACCAAGUCUCCUUGAUAUUCUUCUGGACAUUGGAGGCAGUGCUGGGAGGACAGGCCUCUGGGGAAAUGGCCCUGCCUGGAACAUUGGCUUUGCCCUCCCUGGCCUCCGGUGAGGACCAGAAUUCCACUGGCAAGGAGAUGUCUCCUCUCCUUGGUCCAGGGAAGGUGUUCAGCCACGGCGAAUGGAGGACAAAGAAGGCUCCUUUCUCAGCCACUUGGGUCCACAUGUACACUUAACCACAGCUGCUCGCUGCGGCAGACUGGAAACCGCCAGAAAUUCCCUCACCGAGGCCAAUGGGUCUGACAGGCCUGCUUCCCUCCCCUGAAGGUCACAAAGGAUGUGUGAGCAGCUGACCAGGGGCAAGCAGUGUUCCAGAGACUGGCUGCUCCCUUCUUCUGGGCCCAGGAGGAAAGGUCACAGCAGUAGUCUACACCUGACCCAUGACGGACCUGUGGCAUGAGCAAGAAGUAAACCCUGUAGGGGCACCUGGGGAAGUGCAGUCAGUUGAGCGUCUGACU